Molecule: ribosomal RNA, 254 nt
Filed under: uncultured bacterium
Lineage: Bacteria
Description: partial 16S ribosomal RNA
Rfam family: Bacterial small subunit ribosomal RNA
Source: RNAcentral
UACGUAGGGGGCAAGCGUUGUCCGGAAUCAUUGGGCGUAAAGCGCGCGUAGGCGGCCCGGUAAGUCCGCUGUGAAAGUCGGGGGCUCAACCCUCGGAUGCCGGUGGAUACUGUCGGGCUAGAGUACGGAAGAGGCGAGUGGAAUUCCUGGUGUAGCGGUGAAAUGCGCAGAUAUCAGGAGGAACACCGAUGGCGAAGGCAGCCCCCUGGGCUAGCAGCUGACGCUCAGGCACGAAAGCGUGGGGAGCAAACAGG